This 492-nucleotide ribosomal RNA is filed under the name uncultured bacterium. RNAcentral's name for it is "partial 16S ribosomal RNA". It matches the Rfam family "Bacterial small subunit ribosomal RNA", at positions 29 to 507 of the family's 1533-position model. The record is from RNAcentral.
AGUGAACGCUGGCGGUAGGCCUAACACAUGCAAGUCGAACGGCAGCACAGUAAGAGCUUGCUCUUACGGGUGGCGAGUGGCGGACGGGUGAGGAAUACAUCGGAAUCUACUUUUUCGUGGGGGAUAACGUAGGGAAACUUACGCUAAUACCGCAUACGACCUACGGGUGAAAGCAGGGGAUCUUCGGACCUUGCGCGAUUGAAUGAGCCGAUGUCGGAUUAGCUAGUUGGCGGGGUAAAGGCCCACCAAGGCAACGAUCCGUAGCUGGUCUGAGAGGAUGAUCAGCCACACUGGAACUGAGACACGGUCCAGACUCCUACGGGAGGCAGCAGUGGGGAAUAUUGGACAAUGGGCGCAAGCCUGAUCCAGCCAUACCGCGUGGGUGAAGAAGGCCUUCGGGUUGUAAAGCCCUUUUGUUGGGAAAGAAAAGCAGCAGGCUAAUACCCCGCUGUUCUGACGGUACCCAAAGAAUAAGCACCGGCUAACUUCGUG